UACGGAGGUCCCAAGCGUUGUUCGGAUUCAUUGGGCGUAAAGGGUGCGUAGGCGGCGGGGUAAGUUGGAUGUGAAAUCUCGGGGCUCAACCCCGAAACUGCAUUCAUUACUGCCUUGCUUGAGUACUGGAGAGGAGACUGGAAUUCAUGGUGUAGCAGUGAAAUGCGUAGAUAUCAGGAGGAAGGCCAGUGGCGAAGGCGGGUCUCUGGACAGUUACUGACGCUGAGGCACGAAGGCCAGGGGAGCAAACGGG
This 253-nucleotide ribosomal RNA is filed under the name uncultured bacterium. RNAcentral describes it as "partial 16S ribosomal RNA". It matches the Rfam family "Bacterial small subunit ribosomal RNA", at positions 524 to 776 of the family's 1533-position model. The record is from RNAcentral.